RNAcentral lists this ribosomal RNA (408 nucleotides) under uncultured bacterium. RNAcentral describes it as "bacterial SSU rRNA". It matches the Rfam family "Bacterial small subunit ribosomal RNA", at positions 355 to 776 of the family's 1533-position model. The record is from RNAcentral.
UCGAGAAUAUUUGUCAAUGCGCGAAAGCGUGAACAAGCAAUGCCGCGUGUAGGAUGAAGGCCCUCGGGUCGUAAACUACUUUUAUUAGGGAAAAAUUUCGAUGAUGGUACCUAAUGAAUAAGAGGUUACUAACUCUGUGCCAGCAGUAGCGGUAAUACAGAGACCUCAAGCGUUAUCCGGAUUUAUUGGGCGUAAAGGGUGCGUAGGCGGAUAUAUUAGUCAGAUGUCAAAUCCUUCGGCUCAACCGAAGAACCGCAUUUGAAACGGUAUAUCUUGAGAAUGUGAGAGAUCAGUGGAAUUUAUGGUGUAGUAGUGAAAUGCGUUGAUAUCAUAAAGAACAUCCAAGGCGAAGGCAGCUGAUUGGCACAUUUCUGACGCUGAGGCACGAAAGCGUGGGGAGCGAAUAGG